AAGAGUGGGGGAUAACGUAGCGAAAGUUACGCUAAUACCGCAUACGAUCUAAGGAUGAAAGCAGGGGAUCUUCGGACCUUGUGCUCCUGGAGCGGCCGAUAUCUGAUUAGCUAGUUGGUGAGGUAAAGGCUCACCAAGGCCACGAUCAGUAGCUGGUCUGAGAGGACGACCAGCCACACUGGAACUGAGACACGGUCCAGACUCCUACGGGAGGCAGCAGUGGGGAAUUUUGGACAAUGGGCGAAAGCCUGAUCCAGCAAUGCCGCGUGAGUGAAGAAGGCCUUCGGGUUGUAAAGCUCUUUUGUCAGGGAAGAAACGGUGAGGGCUAAUAUCCCUCGCUAAUGACGGUACCUGAAGAAUAAGCACCGGCUAACUACGUGCCAGCAGCCGCGGUAAUACGUAGGGUGCAAGCGUUAAUCGGAAUUACUGGGCGUAAAGCGUGCGCAGGCGGUUUUGUAAGUCUGACGUGAAAUCCCCGGGCUCAACCUGGGAAUUGCGUUGGAGACUGCAAGGCUAGAAUCUGGCAGAGGGGGGUAGAAUUCCACGUGUAGCAGUGAAAUGCGUAGAGAUGUGGAGGAACACCGAUGGCGAAGGCAGCCCCCUGGGUCAAGAUUGACGCUCAUGCACGAAAGCGUGGGGGAGCAAACAGGAUUAGAUACCCUGGGUAGUCCACGCCCCUAAACGAUGUCUACUAGGUUGUCGGGGUUU
RNAcentral lists this ribosomal RNA (708 nucleotides) under Massilia aurea. RNAcentral's name for it is "bacterial SSU rRNA". It matches the Rfam family "Bacterial small subunit ribosomal RNA", at positions 132 to 832 of the family's 1533-position model. The record is from RNAcentral. Lineage: Bacteria; Pseudomonadati; Pseudomonadota; Betaproteobacteria; Burkholderiales; Oxalobacteraceae.